Molecule: ribosomal RNA, 783 nt
Filed under: uncultured bacterium
Lineage: Bacteria
Description: bacterial SSU rRNA
Rfam family: Bacterial small subunit ribosomal RNA
Source: RNAcentral
UGGCGGCGUGCCUAACACAUGCAAGUCGAACGCGAAAGUCCCGCAAGGGAUAAGUAGAGUGGCAAACGGGUGAGUAACACGUGGGUGACCUGCCUUCGAGCGGGGGAUAACGUCCCGAAAGGGACGCUAAUACCGCAUAAUAUGCCGCCUUUUAACAGGUGGACAUCAAAGCUGGGGAUCGCAAGACCUAGCACUUGAAGAGGGGCCCGCGUCUGAUUAGCUAGUUGGUGGGGUAAUGGCUCACCAAGGCAACGAUCAGUAUCCGGCCUGAGAGGGCGGACGGACACACUGGGACUGAGACACGGCCCAGACUCYUACGGGAGGGAGCAGUGGGGAAUUGUUCGCAAUGGGCGCAAGCUUGACGACGCAACGYYGCGUGGAGGAUGAAGACCUUCGGGUCGUAAACUCCUUUCGAUCGAGACGAAUGGYCUCCGGGUGAACAAUCCGGAGGAGUGACGGUACCGAGAGAAGAAGCCCCCGGCUAACUCCGUGCCAGCAGCCCGCGGUAAUACGGGGGGGGCAAGCGUUGUUCGGAAUUACUGGGCGUAAAGGGCUCGUAGGUGGCCAACUAAGUCAGACGUGAAAUCCCCUCGGCUUAACCGGGGAACUGCGUCUGAUACUGGAUGGCUUGAGUUUGGGAGAGGGACGCGGAAUUCCAGGUGUAGCGGUGAAAUGCGUAGAUAUCUGGAGGAACACCCGGUGGCGAAGGCGGCGUCCUGGACCAACACUGACACUGAGGAGCGAAAGCCAGGGGAGCAAACGGGAUUAGAUACCCCGGUAGUC